UACGAAGGGUGCAAGCGUUAAUCGGAAUUACUGGGCGUAAAGCGCGCGUAGGUGGUUUGUUAAGUUGGAUGUGAAAGCCCCGGGCUCAACCUGGGAACUGCAUCCAAAACUGGCAAGCUAGAGUAUGGCAGAGGGUGGUGGAAGUUCCUGUGGAGCGGUGACAUGCGUAGAUCUAGGAAGGAACACCAGUGGCGAAGGCGACCACAUGGGCUAAUACUGACACUGAGGUGCGAAAGCGUGGGGAGCAAACAGGAUUAGAUACCCGUGUAGUCC
This 273-nucleotide ribosomal RNA is filed under the name uncultured bacterium. Its description in RNAcentral is "partial 16S ribosomal RNA". It matches the Rfam family "Bacterial small subunit ribosomal RNA", at positions 524 to 796 of the family's 1533-position model. The record is from RNAcentral.